CAUAGGUUAAUGAGGCGAACCGGGGGAACUGAAACAUCUAAGUACCCCGAGGAAAAGAAAUCAACCGAGAUUCCCCCAGUAGCGGCGAGCGAACGGGGAGCAGCCCAGAGCCUGAAUCAGUAUGUGUGUUAGUGGAAGCGUCUGGAAAGGCGCGCGAUACAGGGUGACAGCCCCGUACACAAAAAUGCACAUGCUGUGAGCUCGAUGAGUAGGGCGGGACACGUGGUAUCCUGUCUGAAUAUGGGGGGACCAUCCUCCAAGGCUAAAUACUCCUGACUGACCGAUAGUGAACCAGUACCGUGAGGGAAAGGCGAAAAGAACCCCGGCGAGGGGAGUGAAAAAGAACCUGAAACCGUGUACGUACAAGCAGUGGGAGCACGCUUAGGCGUGUGACUGCGUACCUUUUGUAUAAUGGGUCAGCGACUUAUAUUCUGUAGCAAGGUUAACCGAAUAGGGGAGCCGAAGGGAAACCGAGUCUUAACUGGGCGUUAAGUUGCAGGGUAUAGACCCGAAACCCGGUGAUCUAGCCAUGGGCAGGUUGAAGGUUGGGUAACACUAACUGGAGGACCGAACCGACUAAUGUUGAAAAAUUAGCGGAUGACUUGUGGCUGGGGGUGAAAGGCCAAUCAAACCGGGAGAUAGCUGGUUCUCCCCGAAAGCUAUUUAGGUAGCGCCUCGUGAAUUCAUCUCCGGGGGUAGAGCACUGUUUCGGCAAGGGGGUCAUCCCGACUUACCAACCCGAUGCAAACUGCGAAUACCGGAGAAUGUUAUCACGGGAGACACACGGCGGGUGCUAACGUCCGUCGUGAAGAGGGAAACAACCCAGACCGCCAGCUAAGGUCCCAAAGUCAUGGUUAAGUGGGAAACGAUGUGGGAAGGCCCAGACAGCCAGGAUGUUGGCUUAGAAGCAGCCAUCAUUUAAAGAAAGCGUAAUAGCUCACUGGUCGAGUCGGCCUGCGCGGAAGAUGUAACGGGGCUAAACCAUGCACCGAAGCUGCGGCAGCGACGCUGAUGCGUUGUUGGGUAGGGGAGCGUUCUGUAAGCCUGCGAAGGUGUGCUGUGAGGCAUGCUGGAGGUAUCAGAAGUGCGAAUGCUGACAUAAGUAACGAUAAAGCGGGUGAAAAGCCCGCUCGCCGGAAGACCAAGGGUUCCUGUCCAACGUUAAUCGGGGCAGGGUGAGUCGACCCCUAAGGCGAGGCCGAAAGGCGUAGUCGAUGGGAAACAGGUUAAUAUUCCUGUACUUGGUGUUACUGCGAAGGGGGGACGGAGAAGGCUAUGUUGGCCGGGCGACGGUUGUCCCGGUUUAAGCGUGUAGGCUGGUUUUCCAGGCAAAUCCGGAAAAUCAAGGCUGAGGCGUGAUGACGAGGCACU
This 1371-nucleotide ribosomal RNA is filed under the name Escherichia coli. Its description in RNAcentral is "partial 23S ribosomal RNA". It matches the Rfam family "Bacterial large subunit ribosomal RNA", at positions 165 to 1578 of the family's 2925-position model. Lineage: Bacteria; Pseudomonadati; Pseudomonadota; Gammaproteobacteria; Enterobacterales; Enterobacteriaceae. The record is from RNAcentral.